Molecule: ribosomal RNA, 505 nt
Filed under: uncultured bacterium
Lineage: Bacteria
Description: partial 16S ribosomal RNA
Rfam family: Bacterial small subunit ribosomal RNA
Source: RNAcentral
GACGAACGCUGGCGGCGUGCCUAAUACAUGCAAGUAGAACGCACAGUUUAUACCGUAGCUUGCUACACCAUAGACUGUGAGUUGCGAACGGGUGAGUAACGCGUAGGUAACCUGCCUGGUAGCGGGGGAUAACUAUUGGAAACGAUAGCUAAUACCGCAUAAUAUUGAUUAUUGCAUGAUAAUUGAUUGAAAGAUGCUAUUGCAUCACUACCAGAUGGACCUGCGUUGUAUUAGCUAGUAGGUGAGGUAACGGCUCACCUAGGCGACGAUACAUAGCCGACCUGAGAGGGUGAUCGGCCACACUGGGACUGAGACACGGCCCAGACUCCUACGGGAGGCAGCAGUAGGGAAUCUUCGGCAAUGGACGAAAGUCUGACCGAGCAACGCCGCGUGAGUGAAGGAGGUUUUCGGAUCGUAAAGCUCUGUUGUAAGAGAAGGACGGGUGUGAGAGUGGAAAGUUCACACUGUGACGGUAUCUUACCAGAAAGGGACGGCUAACUACGUG